UACGUAGGGUGCAAGCGUUAAUCGGAAUUACUGGGCGUAAAGCGUGCGCAGGCGGUUAUGCAAGACAGAUGUGAAAUCCCCGGGCUCAACCUGGGAACUGCAUUUGUGACUGUAUAGCUAGAGUACGGUAGAGGGGGAUGGAAUUCCGCGUGUAGCAGUGAAAUGCGUAGAUAUGCGGAGGAACACCGAUGGCGAAGGCAAUCCCCUGGACCUGUACUGACGCUCAUGCACGAAAGCCAGGGGAGCAAACGGG
This 253-nucleotide ribosomal RNA is filed under the name uncultured bacterium. RNAcentral's name for it is "partial 16S ribosomal RNA". It matches the Rfam family "Bacterial small subunit ribosomal RNA", at positions 524 to 776 of the family's 1533-position model. The record is from RNAcentral.